RNAcentral lists this unclassified non-coding RNA (344 nucleotides) under soil metagenome. Its description in RNAcentral is "partial contains 5.8S ribosomal RNA, internal transcribed spacer 2, and large subunit ribosomal RNA". The stretch from base 1 to 120 matches the Rfam family "5.8S ribosomal RNA", at positions 35 to 154 of the family's 154-position model. The record is from RNAcentral.
GAUGAAGAACGUAGCGAAAUGCGAUAAGUAAUGUGAAUUGCAGAAUUCCGUGAAUCAUCGAAUCUUUGAACGCACAUUGCGCCCUCUGGUAUUCCGGGGGGCAUGCCUGUCCGAGCGUCAUUUGCAACCCUCAAGCCCGGCUUGUGUGAUGGGUGCCGUUCCCUACGGGACGCGCCCCGAAGGCAAUGGCGGCGUCGCGGUUAUCCGAUCAGCCAAAGUGUAUGGGGCUUUGUCACUCACUUUACGGCCCGGACCGGCGCCAGUCCGAAUCAAUCUUUUUUCUAAAGUUGACCUCGGAUCAGGUAGGGAUACCCGCUGAACUUAAGCAUAUCAAUAGCGGAGGA